GCAGGUGUCAAAGCCUUUGAUGGAGCGGCGACGGAGAGCACGCAUCAAUGGAUGCCUUGGAGAACUCAGAACUUUGCUCCUGCAAUCGCACAUAGCCCAGUCCUGCCGCCGCUCGAAACUGGAAAAAGCGGAUAUUCUCGAAUUGACAGUUAGACAUCUGAAGGCACUCACACAGAGUAAUGGAUCGGGAAGUUUUGCAGAAGUUGCGAUGAGUAGGUUUUACGCUGGGUACAGCGACUGCGCCAGGGAGGUGAGCCGCUUUCUCAGCACAAGCGACGUGAUAAACAAUACGGUGAGGGGGUCUUUACUUCACCGGCUUUCUGAUCGGGCCACGGCUUUGGCCAGCGGUGCGGCGCUGCCCAACCAUCUACCAGACACUCCCGUCCAUCGGUUCUCUUUUGAACGUCUUCCUGCAUUUUCCAGCGCAGGUUCUUCGGUGACUGAAUCCCAUUUGUUGACACCUCUGCAGUCCGUAGUCGUUAGUCAGCCUGCAACUCUUCCAGUUGCGAAUUCGGCUUUUUCAUUCCCGCUACAGGUACGUCACGAAUCCCCCUUGGGUCCAGGGGUCAGCACGCGACUCGUACAUGUAAAGACUGUUCUGGACAGCAAAGUGCAUACUGAGAACUCCUGCACGUCUGAAACAGUCUGGAGACCUUGGUGACUCUCAACAACGCAGAAAAUACUUACUAUAACAAGCGGAGGGUGGAAAUAGCUUAGCGGCACCAUACAAAAUACUAUAAAGUGUCUUAGGCCAUUGUUUCCUUUGCAUGUUUCUACGGUAUAUAUUAGUUGUAUGAUUAGAAUAAAGGUUGCACAGUAUUUUCAAUAGUCCAAUAUUAGGGCAUUUGUAAGUUGUAAGGUGACAAAAUGUUAAUGUAACAAAUAGGAAUGCAGACAAGGUGAAGGAACAACGAGCCAUUAGUUUCACAUUGGAGGAAGGAGACAAAUUUGAGAAAAUGCAUUUUUGAAGAUGUACUUCUGAAAUGAUUUACUUGUCUUA
Long non-coding RNA from Anguilla rostrata (American eel), 1000 nucleotides. RefSeq lists it as uncharacterized. Lineage: Eukaryota; Metazoa; Chordata; Actinopteri; Anguilliformes; Anguillidae. The transcript has 3 exons. The record is from RefSeq and is a predicted model, not a curated record.